This 502-nucleotide unclassified non-coding RNA is filed under the name uncultured Archaeospora. RNAcentral describes it as "SSU rRNA". It matches the Rfam family "Eukaryotic small subunit ribosomal RNA", at positions 569 to 1072 of the family's 1831-position model. The record is from RNAcentral. Lineage: Eukaryota; Fungi; Glomeromycota; Glomeromycetes; Archaeosporales; Archaeosporaceae.
AGCAGCCGCGGUAAUUCCAGCUCCAAUAGCGUAUAUUAAAGUUGUUGCAGUUAAAAAGCUCGUAGUUGAAUUUUGGGUCUGGCCGGGCGGUCCGCCCUCUGGGUGAGCACUGUUCCGACGCCGGGCCUAUCCUUCUGGUGAGUCGGCAUGUCCUUUAUUGGGUGUGCCGGGGAACCAGGACCAUUACCUUGAAAAAAUUAGAGUGUUCAAAGCAGGCGUAUGCUCGGAUACAUUAGCAUGGAAUAAUGAAAUAGGACGCGUGGUGCUAUUUUGUUGGUUUCUAGAACCGCCGUAAUGAUUAAUAGGGAUAGUUGGGGGCAUUAGUAUUCAAUUGUCAGAGGUGAAAUUCUUGGAUUUAUUGAAGACUAACUUCUGCGAAAGCAUUUGCCAAGGAUGUUUUCAUUAAUCAAGAACGAAAGUUAGGGGAUCGAAGACGAUCAGAUACCGUCGUAGUCUUAACCAUAAACUAUGCCGACUAGGAAUCGGGCGAUGUUAUUCUCAU